UUACGGGCGGCAGCAGUGGGGAAUAUUGGACAAUGGGCGAAAGCCUGAUCCAGCCAUGCCGCGUGUGUGAAGAAGGCCUUCGGGUUGUAAAGCACUUUCAGUGGGGAAGAAAGCCUUGGGGCUAAUACCCUCGAGGAAGGACAUCACCAACAGAAGAAGCACCGGCUAACUCCGUGCCAGCAGCCGCGGUAAUACGGAGGGUGCGAGCGUUAAUCGAAAUUACUGGGCGUAAAGCGCGCGUAGGCGGUCUGAUAAGCCGGUUGUGAAAGCCCCGGGCUCAACCUGGGAACGGCAUCCGGAACUGUCAGGCUAGAGUGCAGGAGAGGAAGGUAGAAUUCCCGGUGUAGCGGUGAAAUGCGUAGAGAUCGGGAGGAAUACCAGUGGCGAAGGCGGCCUUCUGGACUGACACUGACGCUGAGGUGCGAAAGCGUGGGUAGCAAACAGGAUUAGAUACCCCAGUAGUC
Molecule: ribosomal RNA, 464 nt
Filed under: Vreelandella stevensii
Lineage: Bacteria; Pseudomonadati; Pseudomonadota; Gammaproteobacteria; Oceanospirillales; Halomonadaceae
Description: partial 16S ribosomal RNA
Rfam family: Bacterial small subunit ribosomal RNA
Source: RNAcentral